This 88-nucleotide non-coding RNA is filed under the name Paramesorhizobium deserti. RNAcentral describes it as "Glycine sequence". It matches the Rfam family "Glycine riboswitch aptamer". Rfam says of the family: This family represents the bacterial glycine riboswitch. Glycine riboswitches usually consist of two metabolite-binding aptamers domains with similar structures in tandem. Lineage: Bacteria; Pseudomonadati; Pseudomonadota; Alphaproteobacteria; Hyphomicrobiales; Phyllobacteriaceae. The record is from Rfam by way of RNAcentral.
UAAGACCAUCUGGGAGAGACCGGUAAAAUCCGGCGCCGACGGAGCAACCGCCCCGGAAACUCUCAGGCAAAAGGACCAGAAUGGUUUA